This is a long non-coding RNA of Puntigrus tetrazona (Sumatra barb), 1342 nucleotides long. RefSeq lists it as uncharacterized. The record is from RefSeq and is a predicted model, not a curated record. NCBI's taxonomy places the organism in Eukaryota, Metazoa, Chordata, Actinopteri, Cypriniformes, Cyprinidae. The transcript has 3 exons.
UUGUGAUGAGCACAAAGUGGCGGAGUGACGAAUAGGGCCUCAGAGUAAUAAAACAUUCACUACAUCGCUGCCAAACGGCCACGGUGAGCCACUUCCUCAUGGAGACACGAUUAACAAAAGGAAAACCUCUCAGAAAGAAGCAUUGGAAUACUUGCUAAAGACGAAUCGCACUGCCUGGAUUUCUGCUGGAGUUGUAGCGUCACUUUAUCAUUUAGGUCAAACGAAACUAGGCCACCCAGUGAGACUGUAAGGAAAUCACAGAAAAGUGGAUCCAAGGGCCAAAAAGAAAAGCGAUCCUUUGUUUUAGACAAACCGUUGCUCAAGGUGACCUGAAGCAGUUUGUUUUCCAUAAGAUGGAUAAGUGGGCAACAUCAUCCAGCACAGCACAGGGGAAUGAGAGCUCGUCUGCCCCAAUCAUAUUUUCUACCCUGUCUUCACGGUAAACACCAAUCUGUGGGACCCAUCUAGGACGAACUAGGAUGCAUUCACGAAGACAUUAUCCAGACUAAACACACUGCCCAGAAUGUUUCAAGCCUCUCAGAAGAAUAACUGUAUAUCAAUAACAGAGAUUAUGGAGGUAUAUGAUUUUCAUAUAAUUUAUAUUUAUAUGUAUUUAUGUCUAUCUAUCUAUCUGGUUGUGUUGUUCUGCAAUACCCUGAGACUGUAAAGCAUAAAUCAAUCUCGCGUCUGUAAAUUUGUCAUCUUUGCAUUGAUAUGUCAUGUGAGCAGUACACAAUUUCAUGAGGCAUAAGGGUCUGAACUGAGGUAGCACAUUAUGAAAUGGAAUGUUUUGAUACACAUUUUAGUUGGUCAUUAAAAAAAUGAAUCGUUUUGUGGUAUCCUGGGAAACAAGGCCAAGGGAAAUUUUAACUUCUCCAGUUUAAGAUAAACCUAAAAAUGGAUAUGUAGAAUUAAAGGGUUAUUAAUACUUAAUCUGAACAAUAAAAAUAACCUUUGUAUCCAAAUAUAGCAUAGUUGAAAAACUAAAAGCACAUACAAAAUAUUUGUGUGUGUGUGUGUGUGUGUGUGUGUUCUUCUCAGGAUAUUAGAGAACAACACAACUUAACAUGUUAGUUAGGACGUUAGAUAGAUAGAUAGAUAGAUAGAUAGAUAGAUAGAUAGAUAGAUAGAUAGAUAGAUAGAUAGAUAGAUAGAUAGAUAGAUAGAUAGAUAGAUAGAGACAUAAUAGACACAUUUUGCAUGUUUAUUUUGUAAACCUUACACUUAAAAAUUGUAUUUACAGUUAAGGAAAAAGCCUGAAGAAGAAUGAAAUUGGUAUUAAGGUCACCAAUAAAAGCAUGCUCAGAUCAGACAAAUUAUAAAAACUCCAGUUCACUUGAAU